AACCCUACGGGACGCAGCAGUAGGGAAUUUUCGUCAAUGGGCGCAAGCCUGAACAGGCGAUGCCGCGUGAGUGAAGAAGGCCUUCGGGUCGUAAAGCUCUGUUGCGGGGGAAAAAAGGCAGCGUCAGGAAAUGGGUGCUGAUUGAUGUUGCCCCGCCAGAAAGUCACGGCUAACUACGUGCCAGCAGCCGCGGGAAUACGUAGGUGGCGAGCGUUAUCCGGAAUGAUUGGGCGUAAAGGGUGCGCAGGCGG
This 251-nucleotide ribosomal RNA is filed under the name uncultured bacterium. RNAcentral's name for it is "partial 16S ribosomal RNA". It matches the Rfam family "Bacterial small subunit ribosomal RNA", at positions 335 to 578 of the family's 1533-position model. The record is from RNAcentral.